CUCACAAACAUGUAUACAGACCGACAGGGGAGCACCGGGACCUCAGGGAAGGGGAAAACACCAGACAACACUGGAGGCCUGGCCAUGACAACAUACCUUGCUUGCACUGACAAACAAUCUGAGAUUUGUCAUAUAUUACAAAACCUGAAAAUCCAGGCUGCUGGUAAAUUACCAAAGAAGAAAUCACAGAUUGCUGCCAACGUUGAAAAUCACUUUAUGAUCAUUGAUACAAAAAUAUUUUUGCAAGCUUUUGAAAUGGUCUUCUCCAGGAAGACAUGAACCAGAUCAGACGACUGGGGAAAUCACCACCUGUGUGUGUGUGUGUGUGUGUGUGCGUGCUCACAUGUUCUGUAUCCGUGAAUGUGUGUGCUGCUGUACUUCUGUCUCAGUGAAGAUUAAACUGAGUUUUUGAUCUUCAUGGUGAGGUCAUCUAGCCUGUCCUCACCUCUCAAAGGGAGUAUUUUAAGGUCAGGACUUGGGUUGAGGUUAAUUAGAGUUAAUUGAUUGGCUACAUAUGGAGCUAUGGGUUCAGGUGCAAGUUGACAGUCUUCUCUGGUGUCUUCACAGCCUAUGCUUUGAUACCCAUACUGAGAAUACUGACCACACUUAUUCCAAAGAACUUUUCGUACUUUCUCUUAGAGCUUGCUUACUGAAGAGUCAUGUUGGCGUUUGACAAGGUUGUAAAAUGAGAUGCAGUGUCUAGUUCCCUUUAUGCUACAAAGCAAGCGUUGUAUACAAAAAUUAAAUACAGCAAUGCUAUUUUGCAUGGUGCAGUGCUGAGGGUGAAUUUAAGAGUCUCACAGCUUGGGGGAAGAAGCUGCUCUGUAGUCUGGUGGUACCAACAAAAUGAUUUUGAAACUGGUAUUUUAAGGUAAAAUUACUACAGAAUGUUGUUUUUAACUGAAUCUGUAUUAAUCAAAA
Long non-coding RNA from Micropterus dolomieu (smallmouth bass), 921 nucleotides. RefSeq lists it as uncharacterized. Lineage: Eukaryota; Metazoa; Chordata; Actinopteri; Centrarchiformes; Centrarchidae. The transcript has 2 exons. The record is from RefSeq and is a predicted model, not a curated record.